RNAcentral lists this ribosomal RNA (407 nucleotides) under uncultured bacterium. RNAcentral describes it as "partial 16S ribosomal RNA". It matches the Rfam family "Bacterial small subunit ribosomal RNA", at positions 30 to 526 of the family's 1533-position model. The record is from RNAcentral.
AUUGAACGCUGGCGGCAGGCCUAACACAUGCAAGUCGAACGGAGUGGCGAACGGGUGAGUAAUGUAUCGGAACGUGCCCAGUAGCGGGGGAUAACUACGCGAAAGCGUAGCUAAUACCGCAUACUCUUGGAGCGGCCGAUAUCGGAUUCGCUAUUUGGUGGGGUAACGGCUCACCAAGGCGACGGUCCGUAGCUGGUUUGAGAGGACGACCAGCCACACUGGGACGGAGACACGGCCCAGACUCCUACGGUAGGCCGCAGUGGGGAAUUUUGGACAAUGGGGGAAACCCUGAUCCAGCCAUCCCGCGUGUGCGAUGAAGGCCUUCGGGUUGUAAAGCACUUUUGGCAGGAAAGCGGUACCUGCAGAAUAAGCACCGGCUAACUCCGUGCCAGCAGCCGCGGUAAUUC